GACCCAUCAAGAUAUCUCUGCCUCUAAUAAUCGCCUGGAUAGAAAUUUCCAUCUUAGCCCAAAGCAGCUCAACCUGGUUUUGACUAACGCCCCAUCUCCCUUUUUUUGUGUUCCUCUAAGUCAACAAGAGGACCUGGACGAGUCAGACCCUGUGUGGGAAGAUUGGAGAAAAGAAGGAAGGCUAGCCAAUUGAAUUAGGUCUGUGAGGUCAGACCACAGCCAAUGGGAGAAAAAACACAGACAUCAUCAUAGCAUAUAGAAGCAGAGUUGAGUGAAUCUAGCAUGUCAACUUGUCUCUAUGAACUGAAGAGUCAGGAAAAAUCCCCCUUCAAUGUCAAUGCAAAAGUAUCUGAAGACUUUAAAAUACCGGGCACACCAAAGCCAUUGGAAGAGGAAGAGGCAAACAACAAAAACCCCACCACCUGACAGUUCUGGUGAUGACGUGGACCAGCCAGGGCUCAAGUAUCUACUAAUGGAAGGCUAAGCAGGUGCAGCACCCUGGAGGACUGUUUGGUACUUUCUGCUGAACCUAAACAAAUGAAUACCCCAUCACCCAACAGUUUCUCUCCUACCUCAAACCCAAGGGAAAUGAACACAUGUGUGUUCCUGAUGCAUGCAAGAGUGCUCCAAGCAGCACUAUCUGUAAUGGUUCCCAACUAGAGACUGCUCAAAUGUCUAUUAUUGGAAGACUGGAUAAAGAUUGCAGUGUAGGUCAUAAUGAGUAAAUUGUGACAAACUACACUAUAGAAGAAUCUGAAUCUCACAAGCCAAAUACUGAACCUGGACACACACACACACACACACACACACAUAAAUUAAAGUUUUAUUUCUGAAAA
RNAcentral lists this long non-coding RNA (836 nucleotides) under Mus musculus (house mouse). Its description in RNAcentral is "predicted gene, 35154". Lineage: Eukaryota; Metazoa; Chordata; Mammalia; Rodentia; Muridae. The record is from RNAcentral.